Long non-coding RNA from Dama dama (fallow deer), 3910 nucleotides. RefSeq lists it as uncharacterized. NCBI's taxonomy places the organism in Eukaryota, Metazoa, Chordata, Mammalia, Artiodactyla, Cervidae. The transcript has 3 exons. The record is from RefSeq and is a predicted model, not a curated record.
AGACGCAGGGUUGAUCCCUGGGUCAGGAAGAGUCCUCCUCCCUGAAGGAGUGCAUGUGAACCCAUUCCACUUCUUGCUUGGAGAAUCCCAAGGACAGAAGAGCCUGGCAGGCUACUGUAGAUAGGGUGGCAAAGAGUAACAGGACUGAAGCGACUUUGCAUGCACACAUAUUGCUUUUUAUAUUUUGAUGUUUUAUCCCUGUAUGAUCCUUAAGGUGAGUUCCAUCUUAAUUGAUGAUUAUAAUCUUUAGUUCCAUGAAAUAGCCUCUGUUUCAUUAAUAAUUUUUUUGCCUUGAAUCUAAUCCUGUUUGAUAAUAAGAUCAAAAUCUCAGACUUUUUUCAUUUUGGAUUUAGUUUAUAUAUCUUCCCAGCUAUACCUUAAUUUUAAAUUUAAUGCUUUUUAAAAUGUAUAUUUAAAGCUUAAUUUUAGUUUGUCUAGUUCAUAUCCUCAGGUAAUUUCCUUAGACCUUGUAGUAUCAGUAGCAUGUUUCAAAGACUUUCAAAGGAGGAAAAUGGCUUACUUUCUUUUUGAAUACUGUCCAUAAAUGAUAUAUUGGUGGGUAGAGAAUCCUUGGAUCAUGACCCUUUCUUCAGAACUCUAUAUUCUACUCUUUGACUCUGACCUUGAAACCGACCACUUGGAAAACCAUUUUUUCCUCUCUGUGUCUUUGGUCUAUUAGUGCUCAUGUGCAUGUGCAGGUGGUGAUGGUGGGAAAUCAUACCUUUCUCUCACGAGUUCUCACUGUGACGUCAUUAUCUCCAGGUACCCCGGAAGAAGUUCUGGGUUGAAAAGCCAAUCAGUCCUGCAAUCAAAUAUUGGACAGAGAAUUUUCAGAUAUACUUCUUUCUUCAGAGAAAGGACUCAGAGAAUUCAAUCAUAAAGAAGGGGAUUCUCAAACUAGAAAUCUUCUUUCUUUCUCUAUAAUGUGUCCUUAGGUUCUGAGCAUGACUGUGACUUCUCAGAGCUCCUUGCUCCUGUGUGUGUCAUUCACACCAGGAAGGGACGCUGAGGAGGGAAUCUAAGUCCAAACUACAUGAUAGUCUAAGAAUGGAACCCAGACUAAAAUAGAGUCACAGUCAGAGGUCUCCAGAUGGUAAAAAGAUAUUUCAUAUCUAACAGUGAGGUAAAAAGAACUUUGGGGUACAAGUGUGGCAUUUCCUCAAAAAAUUAAAAAUAUAAUUACCAUAUGGUAGCAUUCCCACUCUCCAAAGAAUUAAAAGCAGAAUCUCAAAGAGAUCUUUGCACUCUCACGUUCAUAGCAGCAUUAUUCACCACAGAUGGGAUGUAGGAACAGCCCAAAUGCCCAUCGAUGGAUGAAUGGAGAAACAAUAUGGCAUAUGCAGACGAUGGAAUACUAUCCAACCUAAAAAAGGAAGGAAAUUGUGCCAUGUACUACAUCAUGGUUGAACCUCGAGGACAUUAGGAUAAGUGAAAUAAGUCAGUCACAAAGAGACAAGUAAUAUAUGAUUCCAUGUACAUGAGGUCUCUAAAGGAGUCAAAUCCAUAGGAACAGAAAGUAGUUUAGUGGUUGCCAGGGUUUGAGAGGAGGGGGAAAUGAAGAGCUGCUGUUUAAUGGGUAUAGAGUUUCAGUUUUUUGUUGUUGUUUUUUUUUUUAGAGUUUCAGUUUUAAAAACAGAAAAGUUCUGGAAAUCAAUUUCAUAGUUAUUUAAAUAUACUUAACAUUAAUGAUUAAUGAUUAACUGACUCAUUGGAAAAGACCCUGAUGCUGGGAAGAUUGAAGGCAGUACGAGAAGGGGAUGAGAGAGGGCGAGAUGGCUUGAUCGCAUCACCAACUUGAUGGCCAUGAGUCUGAGCAAUUUCGGGAAUUGGUGAUGGACAGGGAAGCCUGGCGUGCUGCAGUCCAUGAGAUUGCAAGGAGUCGGACAUGACUGAGCGACUGAAAUGAACUGAACAUUAAUGAAUUAUACAUUUAAAAAUAGUAAAGAUGGUAAAUGUCAUGUUUUUUUAUCACAAUGAAAAAUUUUUUUAACAAUUUAAAGAAUACCGAGAGAAUUAAUCUCAAAGAGGUAUCUUUGAGAGUGGAGAGAAACAGUGUGGUUUAGGACAUAGUUUAACAACAAGUGGUAUGCCCAACUGCUGCUGCUGCUAAGUCGCUUUAGUCGUGUCUGACUCUGUGCGACCCCAUAGACAGCAGCCACCAGGCUGCCCCCGUCCCUGGGAUUCUCCAGGCAAGAAUAGUGGAGUGCGUUGCCAUUUCCUUCUCCAGGUAUGCCCAAAGGUGCUCUUUAACGAAGCACCAGGUGGGUUCAGCACUUUUUGGUAUACAUACUUACAAGAAUCAAUUUAGACCGCACAGGUCUGAGCGUCUCCUGAAUUGUUUUCUCUAUUUCACUUGAAUUUUCAUGGUGCCCUGUCAUCAUCUAAAGUUAAAUGAGCCAAAGGAAGAGAACUUGACCUAAAGCUGUGGUGUUAAAAUUGCUUGUUGUUGGGAAUCCCUGGUGGUCCAGUGGGUAGGACUCCACGCUUUCACUGCCAUCGGCCUGCGUUCAAUCCCUGGUCUUCCGGGAGGCCAAGCAGUGUGACUAAAGAAAAAAAAAAAGAAAGAAUUGCUCAUUGUCCUUUUGUUCUUUUACUCUAGGAAAAUUGAUGAGGGAUCUGGAAUAUAAGAAAAGUGAAUAUCUGGAGGGGAGAGUGGCUGAAGUUUGCAACAUUCCCGUGAAGGUCCAUUACUCACAGGCACAAACUGUUCCCACUCCAAAGGGGAAACACCUGUCAUCUAACUCUGUCUGUAUGGAGACACUCUGGCAUCAAAUUUCUAGGGGUCACCUUCAGCUCAUACCCUAGGACGUACAUUCUGAUCCUCUAGCUGGGCUGGAGCUCACCACGCAUCAGUGUUAUUCUCCUUUUGGACAUAAGUCAUCUCACAGAAGAUCAGCAUCAGACAAGGACAUCUGAGUGCGUGACACAGAGAGACAAAACCAGAACACGACGGCAUUCUGCACCAGCUCAGACCAACCAGGCAGCCCUGUGCCCUCACCAUGUACCAAACCUCCCCCUGAGCUGAUCCAGAGACCACUGCCUCCUCCCAGUCACCGCUGUGUCCUCACUCUAGUCUGCCCUCCCUAGAGCAGAGGCUCAUGAGGUGCCCAGUCCUAGAGUUGCCCCCAUUUCCCGACAAUACCCAGUCUAGAGUGAGCCAGUCUUGCAUAGACGCUUCUCAGAAUCAAAGCCCACAUCCUGUAUAUCAGCGGUCCUCAACAUUUUGGCACCAGGAACUGAUUUCAUGGAAGACAAUUUUUCCAUGGACAGGGGGUGGGAGGAAUGGUUUCAGGAUGAUUCAAGCACAGUAGAUUUAUUGUACACUUUACUUCUAAUCUAAUGUUGGCACUGAUCUGACAGGAGGUACCAGUCCAAGCUCAGAGUUUGGGGACUUGUGGCUGUAUAUGUUCUAAUACCUUACAAGGAUACUAUCGUCCCUGAUGCUCUGUGAUCUCCCUUGCUGUAUCCAGUAUAAAUCCAACUUGACUGCCCACAGAUUUGUUCCUGGUGGUCUUUGGCUGAAGAACAAUGAGUCAUGUCACCUGUAUGCCAAAAAUUUUUUUGUGUCUCCAUUGGAAUAGGGGCAUAUGUUUGUAUCUUGUGAGUGAUUGACAUAGGAACGAUUUAUAUGCUUUGAUGGCUUUUCAUCUUUGGGUCACAAAACUCUUCAUUCCACAAGUGUAAAAAAUUCAUGGAUAUUUUUGUCUAGGAGAGAGGGGUCUAAGGGUGAAGGGAAACAGAACUGAUGGAAUUUGGGGAGAAAGUACAGCAGGAGCAGUAAGUAGAAAGUAAUAAGGUGGUGAAUUCUAACAUUGCAUCUUCUGCUUCAUAACUUUACAAGUAUGUACAAGUCCCACAAAGUAUUGAUAUCUGUUGUGUUCAAUAAACACGUCCUCUUGGGCUAAAUGAA